This 502-nucleotide ribosomal RNA is filed under the name uncultured bacterium. RNAcentral describes it as "partial 16S ribosomal RNA". It matches the Rfam family "Bacterial small subunit ribosomal RNA", at positions 28 to 523 of the family's 1533-position model. The record is from RNAcentral.
GAUGAACGCUAGCGGCAGGCCUAACACAUGCAAGUCGAGGGGCAGCACAGAAACAGCAAUGUUUUGGUGGCGACCGGCGGACGGGUGCGUAACGCGUAUGCAACCUACCUUUAACAGGGGGAUAGCGGAGAGAAAUUUCCACUAAUACCCCAUAACAUCGAUCAAGGCAUCUUGAUUGGUUGAAAACUCCGGUGGUUAAAGAUGGGCAUGCGUUGUAUUAGGUAUUUGGUGAGGUAAUGGCUCACCAAGCCUACGAUACAUAGGGGGACUGGGAGGUUAGCCCCCCACACUGGUACUGAGACACGGACCAGACUCCUACGGGAGGCAGCAGUGAGGAAUAUUGGUCAAUGGGGGAAACCCUGAACCAGCCAUGCCGCGUGCAGGAAGACGGCUCUAUGAGUUGUAAACUGCUUUUAAACAGGGAUAAAGCACAGUAUGUAUACUGUGUUGAAGGUACUGUAAGAAUAAGGAUCGGCUAACUCCGUGCCAGCCGCCGCAGUAA